Molecule: ribosomal RNA, 1407 nt
Filed under: metagenome
Description: bacterial LSU rRNA
Rfam family: Bacterial large subunit ribosomal RNA
Source: RNAcentral
GUAGGCGACAGGUAGGCAAAUCCGCCUGUCAUAUACCGAGGCUGCCGAUCGAGCGAGCUUGCUCGCGAAGUGAUUGAACGAGGUUCCAGGAAAAGCCACUAAGCUUCAGCUACACACGACCGUACCGCAAACCGACACUGGUGCGCGAGAUGAGUAUUCUAAGGCGCUUGAGAGAACUCGGGAGAAGGAACUCGGCAAAUUGACACCGUAACUUCGGAAGAAGGUGUGCCCUAUUAGUGUGAAGUGAACAACGGAGCAUGAAUGGGUUGCAAAAAAUCGGUGGCUGCGACUGUUUAUUAAAAACACAGCACUCUGCAAACACGAAAGUGGACGUAUAGGGUGUGACGCCUGCCCGGUGCUGGAAGAUUAAAUGAUGGGGUGCAAGCUCUUGAUUGAAGUCCCAGUAAACGGCGGCCGUAACUAUAACGGUCCUAAGGUAGCGAAAUUCCUUGUCGGGUAAGUUCCGACCUGCACGAAUGGCGUAACGAUGGCCACACUGUCUCCUCCCGAGACUCAGCGAAGUUGAAAUGUUUGUGAUGAUGCAAUCUCCCCGCGGAAAGACGGAAAGACCCCAUGAACCUUUACUGUAGCUUUGUAUUGGACUUUGAACAGAUCUGUGUAGGAUAGGUGGGGGGCUUUGAAGCAGGGUCGCUAGAUCUUGUGGAGCCAACGUUGAAAUACCACCCUGGUGUGUUUGAGGUUCUAACCUAGGUCCAUUAUCUGGAUCGGGGACAGUGCAUGGUAGGCAGUUUGACUGGGGCGGUCUCCUCCCAAAGCGUAACGGAGGAGUUCGAAGGUACGCUAGUUACGGUCGGACAUCGUGACGAUAGUGCAAUGGCAUAAGCGUGCUUAACUGCGAGACUGACAAGUCGAGCAGAUGCGAAAGCAGGACAUAGUGAUCCGGUGGUUCUGUAUGGAAGGGCCAUCGCUCAACGGAUAAAGGUACUCUGGGGAUAACAGGCUGAUACCGCCCAAGAGUUCAUAUCGACGGCGGUGUUUGGCACCUCGAUGUCGGCUCAUCUCAUCCUGGGGCUGUAGCCGGUCCCAAGGGUAUGGCUGUUCGCCAUUUAAAGAGGUACGUGAGCUGGGUUUAAAACGUCGUGAGACAGUUUGGUCCCUAUCUUCCGUGGGCGCUGCAGAUUUGAGGAAGCCUGCUCCUAGUACGAGAGGACCGGAGUGGACGCACCUCUGGUGUAUCGGUUGUCACGCCAGUGGCAUUGCCGAGUAGCUAUGUGCGGAAGAGAUAACCGCUGAAAGCACCUAAGCGGGAAACUCGUUCCAAGAUGAGAUCUGCCGGGGCCUUGAGCCCCCUAAAGAGUCGUUCAAGACCAGGACGUUGAUAGGUCGGGUGUGGAAGCGCAGUAAUGCGUUAAGCUAACCGAUACUAAUUGCUCGUGCGGCUUGACC